UACGGAGGGUGCAAGCGUUACUCGGAAUCACUGGGCGUAAAGAGCGCGUAGGCGGGAUAGCAAGUCAGAUGUGAAAUCCUAUGGCUUAACCAUAGAACUGCAUUUGAAACUGUUAUUCUAGAGUAUGGGAGAGGUAGGUGGAAUUCCUAGUGUAGCGGUGAAAUGCGUAGAUAUUAGGAGGAACACCAGUGGCGGAGGCGGCUUACUGGACGGUAACUGACGCUGAGGCUCGAAAGCGUGGGGAGCAAACAGG
RNAcentral lists this ribosomal RNA (253 nucleotides) under uncultured Helicobacteraceae bacterium. RNAcentral's name for it is "partial 16S ribosomal RNA". It matches the Rfam family "Bacterial small subunit ribosomal RNA", at positions 524 to 776 of the family's 1533-position model. The record is from RNAcentral. Lineage: Bacteria; Pseudomonadati; Campylobacterota; Epsilonproteobacteria; Campylobacterales; Helicobacteraceae.